This 468-nucleotide ribosomal RNA is filed under the name uncultured bacterium. RNAcentral's name for it is "partial 16S ribosomal RNA". It matches the Rfam family "Bacterial small subunit ribosomal RNA", at positions 28 to 507 of the family's 1533-position model. The record is from RNAcentral.
GACGAACGCUGGCGGCGUGCUUAACACAUGCAAGUCGAACGGAAAGGCCCUGCUUUUGUGGGGUGCUCGAGUGGCGAACGGGUGAGUAACACGUGAGUAACCUGCCCUUGACUUUGGGAUAACUUCAGGAAACUGGGGCUAAUACCGGAUAGGAGCUCCUGCUGCAUGGUGGGGGUUGGAAAGUUUCGGCGGUUGGGGAUGGACUCGCGGCUUAUCAGCUUGUUGGUGGGGUAGUGGCUUACCAAGGCUUUGACGGGUAGCCGGCCUGAGAGGGUGACCGGCCACAUUGGGACUGAGAUACGGCCCAGACUCUUACGGGAGGCAGCAGUGGGGAAUAUUGCACAAUGGGCGGAAGCCUGAUGCAGCAACGCCGCGUGCGGGAUGACGGCCUUCGGGGUGUAAACCGCUUUCGCCUGUGACGAAGCGUGAGUGACGGUAAUGGGUAAAGAAGCACCGGCUAACUACGUG